This 433-nucleotide ribosomal RNA is filed under the name uncultured bacterium. RNAcentral describes it as "partial 16S ribosomal RNA". It matches the Rfam family "Bacterial small subunit ribosomal RNA", at positions 29 to 507 of the family's 1533-position model. The record is from RNAcentral.
AACGAACGCUGGCGGCAUGCCUAACACAUGCAAGUCGAACGAGACCUUCGGGUCUAGUGGCGCACGGGUGCGUAACGCGUGGGAACCUGCCCUUAGGUUCGGAAUAACUCCCCGAAAGGGGUGCUAAUACCGGAUAAUGUCUUCGGACCAAAGAUUUAUCGCCCUUGGAUGGGCCCGAGUUGGAUUAGCUAGUUGGUAGGGUAAAAGCCUACCAAGGCGACGAUCCAUAGCUGGUCUGAGAGGAUGAUCAGCCACACUGGGACUGAGACACGGCCCAGACUCCUACGGGAAGCAGCAGUGGGGAAUAUUGGACAAUGGGCGAAAGCCUGAUCCAGCAAUGCCGCGUGAGUGAUGAAGGCCUUAGGGUUGUAAAGCUCUUUUACCCGGGAUGAUAAUGACAGUACCGGGAGAAUAAGCUCCGGCUAACUCCGUG